UUUAAACCGGAGCGCGUUAGAGAUGGAAGCGAUAUCCUUUUGUGAUAAACCAGACUUCUUCUGUUUUAUUAAACUUCUAUCACAAAAGAUUUAGCGGACAGCCCGACCCGGA
Molecule: small RNA, 112 nt
Filed under: Flavobacterium sp. 81
Lineage: Bacteria; Pseudomonadati; Bacteroidota; Flavobacteriia; Flavobacteriales; Flavobacteriaceae
Also listed under: 1 other name
Description: Flavo-1 RNA
Rfam family: Flavo-1 RNA
Source: RNAcentral